This 246-nucleotide unclassified non-coding RNA is filed under the name uncultured Chaetomium. RNAcentral describes it as "sequence contains ITS2". The stretch from base 1 to 52 matches the Rfam family "5.8S ribosomal RNA", at positions 103 to 154 of the family's 154-position model. The record is from RNAcentral. Lineage: Eukaryota; Fungi; Ascomycota; Sordariomycetes; Sordariales; Chaetomiaceae.
AACGCACAUUGCGCCCGCCAGUAUUCUGGCGGGCAUGCCUGUUCGAGCGUCAUUUCAACCAUCAAGCCCCAGGCUUGUGUUGGGGCCCUGCGGAGACGCAGACCCCUAAAAGCAGUGGCGGGCUCGCUGUCAUCCCGAGCGCAGUAUUGUAUCUUCGCUUUGGGCGUGGCGGCGGGUUCCGGCCGUGAAACCACCUAUUUUCUCAAGGUUGACCUCGGAUCAGGUAGGAAUACCCGCUGAACUUAA